This 74-nucleotide microRNA precursor is filed under the name Myotis davidii. RNAcentral's name for it is "mir-9229 microRNA precursor family". It matches the Rfam family "mir-9229 microRNA precursor family". Lineage: Eukaryota; Metazoa; Chordata; Mammalia; Chiroptera; Vespertilionidae. The record is from Rfam by way of RNAcentral.
GAGACACCUUAUGGGACAAGACUUGCUUCAGUGAGCUUUGGUGCUCACUGAGUCUGCCCUCUGAGUGUGUCUCU